RNAcentral lists this ribosomal RNA (468 nucleotides) under uncultured bacterium. Its description in RNAcentral is "partial 16S ribosomal RNA". It matches the Rfam family "Bacterial small subunit ribosomal RNA", at positions 28 to 507 of the family's 1533-position model. The record is from RNAcentral.
GACGAACGCUGGCGGCGUGCUUAACACAUGCAAGUCGAACGGAAAGGCCCUGCUUUUGUGGGGUGCUCGAGUGGCGAACGGGUGAGUAACACGUGAGUAACCUGCCCUUGACUUUGGGAUAACUUCAGGAAACUGGGGCUAAUACCGGAUAGGAGCUCCUGCUGCAUGGUGGGGGUUGGAAAGUUUCGGCGGUUGGGGAUGGACGGGCGGCUUAUCAGCUUGUUGGUGGGGGAGUGGCUUACCAAGGCUUUGACGGGUAGCCGGCCUGAGAGGGUGACCGGGCACCUGGCUACUGCGGGACGGACCAGAGUCCUACGGGGGGCAGCGGUGGGGAGUCUUGCACAAUGGGAGGAAGCCUGAUGAGGCAGCGCCGCGUGCGUGAUGACGGUUUUCGGGUUGUAAAACGCUUUAGGCUGUGACGAAGCGUGAGUGACGGUAAUGGAUAAAGAAGCACCGGCUAACUACGUG